This is a non-coding RNA of Rhodofomes roseus, 87 nucleotides long. The record is from the annotation of a RefSeq genome assembly. NCBI's taxonomy places the organism in Eukaryota, Fungi, Basidiomycota, Agaricomycetes, Polyporales, Fomitopsidaceae.
GGCCGCCUGGCGAAAUGGCAUCGCGUCUGACUACGACUGAGUAGAUGACAAAUCAGGAGAUUGCAGGUUCGACCCCUGCGGUGGUCA